ACUCCUACGGGAGGCAGCAGUGGGAAUAUUGGACAAUGGGGGCAACCCUGAUCCAGAAAUGCCGCGUGAGUGAUGAAGGCCUUAGGGUUGUAAAGCUCUUUCAACUGUGAAGAUGAUGACGGUAACAGUAGAAGAAGCUCCGGCUAACUCCGUGCCAGCAGCCGCGGUAAUACGGAGGGAGCUAGCGUUGUUCGGAAUUACUGGGCGUAAAGCGCGCGUAGGCGGACUGGAAAGUUGGGGUGAAAUCCCAGGGCUCAACCCUGGAACUGCCUCCAAAACUAUCAGUCUAGAGUUCGAGAGAGGUGAGUGGAAUUCCGAGUGUAGAGGUGAAAUUCGUAGAUAUUCGGAGGAACACCAGUGGCGAAGGCGGCUCACUGGCUCGAUACUGACGCUGAGGUGCGAAAGUGUGGGGAGCAAACAGGAUUAGAUACCCUGGUAGGCUCUGC
RNAcentral lists this ribosomal RNA (446 nucleotides) under uncultured bacterium. Its description in RNAcentral is "bacterial SSU rRNA". It matches the Rfam family "Bacterial small subunit ribosomal RNA", at positions 335 to 800 of the family's 1533-position model. The record is from RNAcentral.